RNAcentral lists this long non-coding RNA (447 nucleotides) under Pan troglodytes (chimpanzee). Its description in RNAcentral is "long non-coding RNA NONPTRT007476". The record is from RNAcentral. Lineage: Eukaryota; Metazoa; Chordata; Mammalia; Primates; Hominidae.
UGGCGUUACAGUUUCGGCGAGCCAGCCAGGAAGAUCUCCAGGAAAGGCAUCUAGAUCGUCACGUGGAUGGAGGUCAUCAAGCUACAAAUGGUCUUACAAAUGAAACCUCAAAUGAGCUCAACUCACGGCUUCUAUUGGGUAUUGAGGACCCCUGGAUCGACCCGCGGGUCACUCACUAGCCUAAAAAGUUCCCCUCUGGAGGAGACCACAACUGCAGGGCCUCUUCUUCGCCCCUAAUCAGCGAAAAGUAGCCAGAACGACCGCCGCCCAGUUCCUAACAGCAGUUGGGGUGUCCAGUCUAGACGGCGGACUGAGAGGAGGUUCCAGCUGGGCUUCCUGGGUCGGGUAGGGGCUCAGAAAGCUGUGAAACUCACUCCUUUCCUGCAUCAGGACUUACUUUGGUCCUGGAUGAAUAAUAUUAAAGAUAUGUGCUUAAAAUAAUAUUCC